ACUAGAGGCUUCUGCUCUUGUAGGUGGCCAGAGGACCUUCCUCAGGGAUCUGGUCUUGAACGUGGCUGCAGAGAAAGGCCUUAAGGGAAAUGCAAACAGUCCUGUAGAAUGAAAUCUGGGAGCAAUGAGGAAGAAGGACCCAGGGAGAUCGUGUCCGUGUCUGCAGCCAGCCUGGGGAAGAGAAGCCUAAGAGAUAGCUGUGUCCCUAGAUUCUUCCACAAGCACAUCUCAGGCAGCCAAAAAGAUUGUGUUGAAUUUUAUGUUCUGUGGGUUUCUUUCCAAAAUAAUAGAUAUGGAGUUUGCAAUCUCCCCCGUGAGAAGAAUAUGUUUUGGGAAGAAUGGGAGUCAUAUGGAAGUGACUUGAACCCAACUCUCAGCCUGGAGUCAGGCUCAGUCUAGAGAAGCUGAUCCCUAGACAACCUGCAGAUACAUGAGUAAGAAAUAAAGACCUGUCAUGAA
This is a long non-coding RNA of Homo sapiens (human), 459 nucleotides long. The record is from Ensembl. NCBI's taxonomy places the organism in Eukaryota, Metazoa, Chordata, Mammalia, Primates, Hominidae.